This 422-nucleotide ribosomal RNA is filed under the name uncultured rumen bacterium. RNAcentral's name for it is "bacterial SSU rRNA". It matches the Rfam family "Bacterial small subunit ribosomal RNA", at positions 354 to 776 of the family's 1533-position model. The record is from RNAcentral.
GUGGGGAAUAUUGCACAAUGGGGGAAACCCUGAUGCAGCAACGCCACGUGUGGGAAGAAGCAUUUCGGUGUGUAAACCACUGUCGUGAGGGAAUAAGGCAUUGUUUCGGCGAUGUUGAAUGUACCUCGAGAGGAAGCACCGGCAAACUUCGUGCCAGCAGCCGCGGUAAUACGAGGGGUGCAAGCGUUGUUCGGAAUCACUGGGCGUAAAGGGAGCGCAGGCGGAAGCUCAAGCGGAUUGUACAAUACCGGGGCCCAACCCCGGACCUGCAGUCCGAACUGGGUUUCUUGGAUAGUUCAGGGGCAAGCGGAAUUCCUGGUGUAGCGGUGGAAUGCGUAGAGAUCAGGAAGAACACCGAUGGCGAAGGCAGCUUGCUGGGGACUUAUCGACGCUCAUGCUCGAAAGUGCGGGUAGCAAACAGG